GUAUACAACAGCAACACUGACUUCGCCUGGACGGCUGGAUGUAGGAUUGCCAACAGAAAGCCUUACAGUAGAAAGACGAAGUGAAAGUGAGGUGCCGUCGCCAGCUGCUGUUAUAAACGUCUCCCGCGUACCUCCGACGGCGGCGUCGCGACGCCAACUGAGGAGCUCAUUCGAUACUGGAACUCGGGCCGCUUUGAAACCGGCGCUACCGGCUGCAGGGCCGUACAGCUGCAUAAAAAGCUUGCGAAAACAAUACAAUGCAUCAACCGCGAAUGAAAUUUUCUUGCCCCUCUCUCCACCUUUCUGCCUUUCUAUCUGUUUCUUCGUUAUAUUUAUUUAUUUUAUAAUUAAUCAAUAUUUAAAAAAGA
This is a long non-coding RNA of Wasmannia auropunctata (little fire ant), 368 nucleotides long. RefSeq lists it as uncharacterized. The transcript has 2 exons. NCBI's taxonomy places the organism in Eukaryota, Metazoa, Arthropoda, Insecta, Hymenoptera, Formicidae. The record is from RefSeq and is a predicted model, not a curated record.